CACGUAGGAGGCAAACGUUAUCCGGAUUUACUGGGCGUAAAGCGCGUGUAGGUGGUUCCGUAAGUAGGGCGUGAAAGCUCCCGGCUCAACUGGGAGAGGCCGUUCUAAACUGCAGAGCUAGAGGAUGGUAGAGGGAGGUGGAAUUCCAGGUGUAGCGGUGGAAUGCGCAGAUAUCUGGAGGAACACCAGUGGCGAAGGCGGCCUCCUGGACCAUUCCUGACACUCAGACGCGAAAGCUAGGGUAGCAAACGGGAUUAGAUACCCGUGUAGUCCCU
This 275-nucleotide ribosomal RNA is filed under the name uncultured prokaryote. RNAcentral describes it as "partial 16S ribosomal RNA". It matches the Rfam family "Bacterial small subunit ribosomal RNA", at positions 524 to 798 of the family's 1533-position model. The record is from RNAcentral.